AAAGAUUAAAGCGGGAUAAAUUUAGCCUGUGAUCUAGUUGCUGUUAUUAUUGAAAAGUACGGGUACCACAUGGCGGAUGAGUAAAACCGUAUAAGCUUCACUUAAAAUAUUACGUAUCCGCCGCGUAGCUCCUUCCCAAGGGAAAAUCAGACAUGCAUUCGGUGCAUAUUACCGCUGCUCUCGUCCAUCCGUCCAACCCCCAUUACAAAUUAAUGCCGCAGAAAAUGGACUGAGAGCAAGGACGUGAAAGGACAUCGACAUGGACACGACCACAGAGCUGCUCAAGUGCACAAUCCAUGCAGCUAUUGGUUGCCUGCUUGGCAGCCAACUAUUUAUCUAUUUAUUUAUUUAUCUUUGGCUUCAGAAUUUAAUCAAAAAGUUCAUGGCAAGAUCCCCCAUUGAGUGCUUUCAAGGAUGUAUGCAAAAUGAGAUUCAGCACAUACAAUAAAUAUAUUAUUUAUUAUGGAAUUAUGUUUAUGUAAUCGAAUUUGUUGUAAGUUUUGUAUCGAAAUAUCAAAUGAUAAAAUCGGGUAUUAGUUCUCUGUAA
Molecule: long non-coding RNA, 547 nt
Organism: Drosophila rhopaloa
Lineage: Eukaryota; Metazoa; Arthropoda; Insecta; Diptera; Drosophilidae
Exons: 2
Source: RefSeq, a predicted model, not a curated record